AGCUUGUUCAACGUAGCAGGUGCCCGAUAUUUCAUCGGGUUAAACGGGAACAAGGUUCAAAGCCUUGGCUGCCCCCGCAACGGUAAGCAGAUCAAUCCACUUCACGGCUUUUGCACCAGCAAGAGCCAGUCACUGGCGUUCUACGUGGCCUCUUCAAGAGGUGCGCGGCAGCGCUGGGAAGACGAAGUGGCAUGCCUCGCGCAAUCUGCCAGCCCGGAUACCGGCCUGUUAAGCGCUGACCGU
RNAcentral lists this non-coding RNA (243 nucleotides) under Comamonas testosteroni. The record is from RNAcentral. Lineage: Bacteria; Pseudomonadati; Pseudomonadota; Betaproteobacteria; Burkholderiales; Comamonadaceae.